AUCUGGUUGACGAGUCCCAAAUAGGACGAAAUGUGCAUCCUGGAU
This 45-nucleotide non-coding RNA is filed under the name Trichobilharzia regenti. Lineage: Eukaryota; Metazoa; Platyhelminthes; Trematoda; Strigeidida; Schistosomatidae. The record is from RNAcentral.